UGGGGGAUCGUCUAAUGGUAGGACAGUUGACUCUGACUCAAUAAAUCUAGGUUCGAAUCCUAGUCCCCCAACCA
RNAcentral lists this transfer RNA (74 nucleotides) under Gammaproteobacteria bacterium. Its description in RNAcentral is "tRNA-Gln". It matches the Rfam family "tRNA". Rfam says of the family: Transfer RNA (tRNA) molecules are approximately 80 nucleotides in length. Their secondary structure includes four short double-helical elements and three loops (D, anti-codon, and T loops). Further hydrogen bonds mediate the characteristic L-shaped molecular structure. tRNAs have two regions of fundamental functional importance: the anti-codon, which is responsible for specific mRNA codon recognition, and the 3' end, to which the tRNAs corresponding amino acid is attached (by aminoacyl-tRNA synthetases). tRNAs cope with the degeneracy of the genetic code in two manners: having more than one tRNA (with a specific anti-codon) for a particular amino acid; and 'wobble' base-pairing, i.e. permitting non-standard base-pairing at the 3rd anti-codon position. The record is from RNAcentral. Lineage: Bacteria; Pseudomonadati; Pseudomonadota; Gammaproteobacteria.